Molecule: long non-coding RNA, 588 nt
Organism: Ictalurus punctatus (channel catfish)
Lineage: Eukaryota; Metazoa; Chordata; Actinopteri; Siluriformes; Ictaluridae
Source: Ensembl
GCUUUCUUCUAUUUUUGCCACAAGACAUUGUAACAAUAACGACUUCCUUUCACUGUCCUGUGUUCUCUGUGCAGUGCGUAGCUCAGGCUGAAGCAGUGAAUGAAACGUGGCAUCUGUUUUUCAGGAGGAUGAAAAAGGCCUUCGUUCUGCAUCUGUCUGAAACUGGCGUAGUGGCUCCUUUGGUGGUGGCUCAGUACGGUGCGUUUUUAAUGGGCCCUGACGCCCAUUAUCCACAAGUCUCAGGUAAAGGAGCAGAUCUAGAGGGUGUUUUGGUGAACUGGGAUGUUUGGCUGCUGUUGUCCCCUCCACACCAACCCCCACUCACGUGUUCACUCAGGUUUAAUGACGGUGGAGUGGCUGGCCGCUUUAUGUCCCAGGGUACCCUCAUGUUUGUGUUACGUUCUAGCUAUCCCUUAGCUAGUCUAGCCAGAAUCCCCUAGCUUGCACUCUGCACACAAUGUACAUUGUCCUUAACCAUUAUGUGACACUUAGCAUACCCAGUAAUCUGUUUCUUUCUCUAUCUCUCUCUCUCUCUCUCUCUCUCUCUCUCUCUCUCUCUCUCUGAUCCUGACCCCUUCUGCUCUACAG